AGUGAACGCUGGCGGUAUGCCUAACACAUGCAAGUCGAACGGCAGCACAGUAAGAGCUUGCUCUGACGGGUGGCGAGUGGCGGACGGGUGAGGUAUGCAUCGGAAUCUACUUUUUCGUGGGGCAUAACGUAGGGGAACUUACUCUAAUACCGCAUACGACCUACCGUUGAAAGCAGGGGAUCUUCGGACCUUGUGCGAUUGAAUUAGCCGAUGACGGAUUAGCUGGUUGGCGGGGUAAAGGCCCACCAAGGCGACGAUCCGUAGCUUGUCUGAGAGGAUGAUCACCGGCACGAGAGGGGGGACACGGUCAUGACGCCUAAGGGAGGCCGCAGACGGGAAUAUUAGACAAUGGGCGCAAGCCUGAUCCAGCCAUCCCGCGUGGGUGAAGACGGCCUUCGGGUUGUAAAGCCGUUUUGUUGGGAGAGAACAGCAGUAGGUUAAUACGCCGCGGUUCUGACGGUAACGAAAGAAGAAGCACCGGCUAACUUCGUG
Molecule: ribosomal RNA, 492 nt
Filed under: uncultured bacterium
Lineage: Bacteria
Description: partial 16S ribosomal RNA
Rfam family: Bacterial small subunit ribosomal RNA
Source: RNAcentral